GAGUCUUUGCCUUGAAAGGAAAGCUCUAGAUGUGGAAAUUUUAGAGGUCAAAACCCAGAGGAUUGCCAAACCAAGAAUGACUUCAUUUGGGGGAGACAUAUCUUGCACCAGAACAGCACUAUGAGGAGAUGUAACUGACUAUGGAAGAGAGAAGAUGAUGUUUUUCAUCUGUAUCCUAUGGGAGGAUCGUAGCCUUCUCAGGACCUGAGCUGGAGCCUGGGGCCAAAAGUCCCUGGUGAAAGAUACUCUGGAGAAAGAGAGAGGUCGGCAUUUCCUGGACCCGUGGGCGGUGAGUGUCAGUGAGAAAUGGAGCACUGAGGAGGGUGCCAGACGCUGUGUGCAGAC
Molecule: long non-coding RNA, 345 nt
Filed under: Heterocephalus glaber (naked mole-rat)
Lineage: Eukaryota; Metazoa; Chordata; Mammalia; Rodentia; Bathyergidae
Description: lncRNA (ENSHGLG00100046699.1)
Source: RNAcentral